ACUACGAGCUGCUGCUUAUUUUUCUUGCUGCGGCAAAAGAAUGCUGUGCCAGAAAGUAGCAUCAGCAAUGAAACCGAAUUUCAUUCAAGACAUCUCUGAUGGGCUAUCAUUCUAUGACAUCUUCACUCAGCAAAACCAGCAUAAUUUUAAAGUGCCCAAGUUUGUAUCCUUCUUCAUGCAUGGUGACAAAACUCCUCUGAUCACCCUGAGAACUAGAAACAAGACAGUCACUCUUGGAAUGCGUCAGAGAUAGUUCACAAAUAAUUGGAACACAUUUAAGUUUGAGCAUCAACUACAAUUUGACGACGCUUUAGUAUUUAUCCCUAAAUCAAAGUCCUGCUAUACUGUCCUAAUCUUCAACAAACAUGGAGUCGAAAAACUAUUCCCUUGGUACAAUAAGUUCUACAUCUUCUCUGAUGCACCAACCGGUAGAACUUAGACCUUUCUUUUAAAUUUAUUCUGCAAGAAACGUUGUUCUUCUUAUAUGUU
Non-coding RNA from Coffea arabica (coffee), 489 nucleotides. NCBI's taxonomy places the organism in Eukaryota, Viridiplantae, Streptophyta, Magnoliopsida, Gentianales, Rubiaceae. The record is from RefSeq and is a predicted model, not a curated record.